RNAcentral lists this long non-coding RNA (370 nucleotides) under Salmo trutta (river trout). RNAcentral describes it as "lncRNA (ENSSTUG00000050832.1)". The record is from RNAcentral. Lineage: Eukaryota; Metazoa; Chordata; Actinopteri; Salmoniformes; Salmonidae.
AUGACUGCCGCUAUGACCUCAUGUUCUUCUCUCUAUUAUCACCUGCGAUCUAGCUACAUGUCUGCACCUCAAAUGACUGGAACAGAUAUGAACAACACAUCGAGAAAUAACAUGGUGCUUAUCUUUCCUUUUGGAUUACGGAGGCAUAAAGCUGCAUCUUCAGACCAGACGGUCUGGGACUUCAUGUUGACAUUACACUACCUUUUAGGGGUUUUGCUUAGUGGAUCGAAACUGGUAGCAGGCCUCAGGCCAGGCGGUUGCAGUCACAUGUUAAUGAAUGGAACAGGAGUGGACGCAUCUGAUGCGGCUGGCGGUUCUGUCAACUGAUUCUCAUCUGUUGUGUGUGUCUCCUGAGGUCAAUGAAUUGGGA